This is a non-coding RNA of Callithrix jacchus (white-tufted-ear marmoset), 6284 nucleotides long. The record is from RefSeq and is a predicted model, not a curated record. Lineage: Eukaryota; Metazoa; Chordata; Mammalia; Primates; Cebidae.
AAUAUCCUGAGAAAGUUUUGUCUUCCAGAUUCUGGAUAUUUGUAUUAUUAGUACUUAUAUCUGCUUAUAGUCUUUUACCUACUUACUAAAUAAAUAAAUAAAUAAAUAAAUAAUUUAAAGACAGCAUCUCGCUCUGUCACCAGACUGGAUGGAGUGCAGUGGCACAAUCAUGGCUCAUUGUAGCUUUCACCUCCUUGGCUCAAGUGAUCCUCCUGCCUUAGCCCCCCAAGUAGCUGAGAUUACAGGUCUGUGCUACCAUGCCUGUCUAAUUUUUAAUUUUUUUGUGGAGAUGAGGUCUCACUGUGUUGCCCAGACUGGUCUUGAACUCCUGGGCUGAAGCAAUCGUCCUGACUCAGCCUUCUAAAAUGCUGAGAUCACAGGAAUGAGCCACCACAGUUGAUCUAGUCUUUCCUUUUUCAUUUGUUUGUUUGUUUGAGACAGGGUCUUGCUCUCUUGCCCAGAUGGGAGUGCAGUGGCAUAGUCAUAGCUCACUGCAGCUUCAACCACCUGGGCUCAAGUGAUACUCCCACCUCAGCCUCCCAGGUAGCUGGAACUACAGGCAUGUGCCACCAUGCCUGGCUAAUUUUUUAUAUUUUUAGUAUAGAUGGGGUUUCGCCAUGUUGCCCAUGCUGGUCUUUAACUCCUAGGCUCAAGUGAUCCACUUGUCUUGGCCUCCCAAUGUGCUGGGAUUACAGAUGUGAGCCUCUGCACCCAGCCAUUCUGGAUAUUUCAUAGAUAUGGAAUCAUACAAUGUGACCUUUUAUGUCUGGCUUCUUUCACUUAGCAUAAUGUCUUAGAGGUUCCUAUACCAGCCGGGCGCGGUGGCUCACGCCUGUAAUCCCAGCACUUUGGGAGGCCAAGGCGGGUGGAUCAUGAGGUCAAGAGAUCGAGACCAUCCUGGUCAACAUGGUGAAACCCUGUCUCUACUAAAAAUACGAAAAAUUAGCUGGGCAUGGUGGUGUGUGCCUGUAAUCCCAGCUACUCAGGAGGUUGAGGCAGGAGAAUUGCCUGAACCCAGGAGGUGGAGGUUGCCAUGACCUGAGAUCGUGCCGUAGUACUCCAGCCUGGGUAACAAGAGCGAAACUCCGUCUCAAAAAAAAAAAGAGGUUUCUAUACCUUGUAGCAUGUAUUGGCACUUUGUUCUUUUUAUGGUUGAAUGAUAAAUCACAGUUGGUUUAUUUAUUCAUUUACUGAUAGACAUUUGGGCUGUUCUCCCGUUUUGCCUCUUGUGAAUAGUGCUGCUAUGAACAUGGGCGAACUAUAUUCUUGUUUGGAUCUCUGCUUUCAUUUCUUUGGAAUAUGUACCCAGGAGUGGAAUUGAAGGGUCAUAUGGUAAUUCUGUGUUUAAGUUUUUGAGAACCUCAAACUGUUUUCCAUAGUGACUGAACCAUUUUAUAUUCUGCCUAUUGUCUUUUAAUUAUACUUAGUACCUUUAUCAAUUUUCAAGGGUGCUGACAGGAAACGAAGUUCAAAAUCCUUUUGAGACAUGGCGCAGAGAUCUGUCUAUAUACAGCAACUUACACAGUUAUUUGGAAAAAUCAUUCCGUAUUCCACACUGUUCUUGGUUUAAGCAUAUAGGAACUUUCCAAGGAUCUCAGCCAUUUAUAAGGAAGCGCUAAGCAUUUGUGUUGUAUGACUACAUCAGCUAGGCAAUUGGCAUGCUCCACAGUAAGAAACACUUUCCAUCAUGGAACAGCGCAUAUGUAUAUAACCUAUACAUAUAUAUAAAACAGGGAAAAAAGUUUCCAGUACAGUUUUUACCAUGUACAGUGUGGACCAGUAUUUUCCAUUUAUUCUAUUCUACUGUUUCUAUUGCUUUUUCAAGGGUUGCUUAGACUAACUAAAUUGAUUUCAUGACUCACCAAGGUUUAUGACCUUUAGUUUAAAAAGCACUGAGCUAAGUCUUUCUCUAUAGAUCCAAGGUAAGACCUGUGUGUUGCAACAUGACUUCUAUUUUGUAACCCACUUAAAUAAUAGUUUCCAGAAUCUCAAUGAAGAAUUCUUCAUUGGCCGGAUGUGGUGGCUCACGCCUAUAAUCCCAACACUUUGGGAGGCCGAGGCGGGUGGAUCACGAGGUCAAGAGAUUGAGACCAUCCUGGUCAACAAGAUGAAACCCCGUCUCUACUAAAAAUACAAAAAUUAGCUGGGCAUGGUGGUGCGUGCCUGUAGUCCCAGCUACUUGGGAGGCUGAGGCAGGAGAAUUGCUUGAACCCAGGAGGCGGAGGUUGUGGUGAGCCGAGAUCGUGCCAUUGCACUCCAGUCUGGGUAACAACAGCGAAACUCCGUCUCAAAAAAAAAAAAAAAAAAAAAAAGAAUUAUUAUAUAAUUUCCCUUAUAUAAUAAUUGUACUUAUCAUCUGAUUCCUCUUGCCCUGUUUCAUACAUAGUUCUUUUUGUUUUUGACAUGCUCAAUACAGGUGUGUUUUGUUGUUAUUGUUUUGGGGGUUUUUUUUGUUGUUGUUUUUUGAGAUGGAGUCUUGCUCUGUCUUCAGGCUGGAGUGCAAUGGCUCGAUCUCAGUUCACUGCAGUCUCCACCUCUCGGGUUCAAGCGAUUCUCCUGCCUCAGCCUCCCAAGUAGCUGGGAUUACAGCGCCUGCCAUCAUGCCCGGCUAAUUUUUUGUAUUUUUAGUAGAGAUGGAGUUUUGCCAUGUUGGCCAGGCUGGUCUCGAACUCCUGACCUCAGAUGAUCCACCCGCCUUGGCCUCCCAAAGUGCUGGGAUUAUAGGUGUGAGCUGCUGUACCUGAUCCAGAUGUGGAUUUUUUUUGUAGUUUUCUUUUCUUUCUUUUUUUCUUUUUUCUUUUUCUUUGAGUUCCAGGACACAUGUGCAGAAUAUACAGGUUUGUUACAUAGAUAUACAUGUGCCAUUGUGGUUUGCCGCACCUAUCAACCCAUCAUCUAGGUUUUAGGCCCUGCAUGCAUUAGGUAUUUGUCCUAAAGCUCUCUCUCCCCUUGCCCUUCAUGCCCUGACAUACCCCUGUGUGUCGUUGUUCCCUCCAGGGAGGCAGAGGUUGCAGUGAGCCGAGAUCAUGCCACUGCACUCCAGACUGAUGACAAAGUGAGACUCUGUCUCAAAAAAAAAAAAAAAAUCCUUGCUAUUUCUCCAUAGCCUCACCAGAAUCUAUUGUUUCCUUUUUAAUAAUCAUGAUUCUGGCUGGGGGCAGUGGCUCAUGCCUGUAAUCUUAGCACAUUGGGAAGCCGAGGCAGGUGGAUCACCUGAGGUUGGAAGUUCGAGAUCAGCCUGACCAACAUGGAGAAACCCUGUCUCUACUAAAAAUACAAAAUUAGCCGGGUGUUGUGGUUCAUGGCUGUAAUCACAGCUACUCAGGAGGCUGAGGCAGGAGAAUCACUUGAACCCGGAGGUAGAGCUUGUGGUGAGCCGAGAUCACGCCAUUGCACUCCAGCCUGGGCAACCAGAGCAAAACUCCAUCUAAAAAAAAAAAAAUGCCAUUCUGACUGGCAUGAGAUGAUAUCUCAUUGUAGUUUUGAUUUUUUUUUCUCUACAAUGAAAGCUAAUACAGUGGCUAAACCAUGGACUUCAGAAUUUUUUUAAAAAAAUCCAAAUCUAAACAGCCAUGUGAAUCUCAGAAAGAUUUUUUUUUCUUUUCUUAAUUUUAUUUUAGUAGUUUCUGGAGAACAGGUGGUUUUUUGUUACAUGGAUAUGUUCUUUAGUGGUGAUUUCUGAGAUUUUGGUGCACCUGUCACCUGAGCAGUGUACACUGUACCUAAUAUGGAGUCUUGUAUACCUCACACCCCUCCCACCCUUCUCCCUGAGUCCCCAAAGUCAAUUCUGUCAUUCUUAUGCCUUUGCAUUCUCAUAGCUUAGCUCCCACUUAUAAGGGAGAACACAUGAUAUUUGGUUUUCCAUUCCUGAGUUACUUCACUUAGAAUAAUGGUCUCCAGUUCUAUCCAAGUUGCUGCAAAGGCUUUUAUUUUAUUCCAUUUUAUGGCUGGGUAGUAUUCCAUAGUGUGUAUAUACUACAUUUCCUUUAUCCACUUGUUGGUUGAUGGGCAUUUAGAUUGGUUCCAUAUUUUUGCAAUUACAAAUUGUGCUGCUGCAAACAUGCAUGUGCAUGUGUGGUGUUUGUUUUUUGUUUUCCAUAUAAUGACUUCUUUUCUUUUGGGAGAUACCAGUAGUUGGAUUGCUGGAUCAAAUGGUAGUUCUGCUUUUAGUUCUUUAAGGAAUCUCCAUACUGUUUUCCAUAGUGAUUGUACUAGUUUACAUUCCCACCAGCAGUGUAAAAGUGUUUCCUUUUCACCACAUACAUGCCAACAUUUAUUAUUUUCUAUUUUUUUAUGGCCAUUGUUGCAGGAGUAAGGUGGUAUCUCAUUGUGGUUUUCAUUUGCAUUUCCCUGAUAACUAGUGAUGCUGAAUAUUUUUUUCAUGUUUGUUGACUGUACAUCUUCUUUUGAGAAUUGUCUAUUCAUGUCCUUUGCCCACUUUUUGAUGGGAUUAUAUGCUUUAUUUCUUGCUGAUUUGUUUGAGUUCCUUGUAGAUUCUGGGUAUUAGUCCUUUGUCAGAUACAUAGUUUACAAAUAUUUUCUCCCACUCUGUGGGUUGUUUGUUUAUUCUGCUAAUUAUUUCUUUUGCUUUGCAGAAGGCUUUUAGUUUACCUAGGUCCCAUUUAUUUAUUUUUGUUUUUGUUGCACUUGCUUUUGGGGUCUUAGUCAUGAAUUUGUUGCCUAAGCCAACGUCUAGAAGAGUUUUUACAAUGUUAUCUUCUAGGAUUUUUAUGGUUUCAAGUCUUAGAUUUAAAUCUUUGGAAACAAUAGAGGCCUCACAUGUAGAGCCAGCGCUUGCAGCCUCCCUGCCCCUCCUGCAAUGCUUGACCCCAGGAUUCCCCCCACUCGCUUUCUCGCCCUGGCCGACAAGGAACCAGCCUUCGAUGACGCAGUGAAAGAACGAGUGAUUAACGAGGAGUACAAAAUAUGAAAAAAGAACACUCCUUUUCUUUAUGAUUUGGUGAUGAACCAUGCUAUGGAGUGGCCCAGCCUAACUGCCCAGUGGCUUCCAGAUGUAACCAGACCAGAAGGGAAAGAUUUCAGCAUUCAUCGACUUGUGCUGGGGACACACACAUUGGAUGAACAAAACCAUCUUGUGAUAGCCAGUGUGCAGCUCCCUAAUGAUGAUGCUCAGUUUGAUGCAUCACACUAUAACAGUGAGAAAGGAGAAUUUGGAGGUUUUGGUUCAGUUCGAGGAAAAAUUGAAACAGAAAUCAAGAUCAUCCAUGAAGGAGAAGUAAACAGGACUCAUUAUAUGCCCCAGAACCCUUGUAUCAUUGCAACAAAGACUCCUUCCAGUAAUGUUCUUGUCUUUGACUAUAAAAAACAUCCUUCUAAACCCGAUCCUUCUGGAGAAUGCAACCCAGAUUUGCGUCUCCAUGGACAUCAGAAGGAAGGCUAUGGGCUUUCUUGGAACCCAAAUCUCAGUGGGCACUUGCUUAGUGCUUCAGAUGACAACACCAUCUGCCUGUGGGACAUCAGUGCCAUUCCAAAGGAGGGAAAAGUGGUGGAUGCGAAAACCAUCUUUACAGGGCAUACAGCAGUAGUAGAAGAUGUUUCCUGGCAUCUGCUCCAUGAGUCUCUGUUUGGGUCAGUAGCUGAUGAUCAGAAACUUAUGAUUUGGGAUACUCGUUCAAACAAUACUUCCAAACCAAGCCACUCAGUUGACGCUUACACUGCUGAAGUGAACUGUCUCUCUUUCAAUCCUUAUCAUGAGUUCAUUCUUGCCACAGGAUCAGCUGACAAGACUGUUGCUUUGUGGGAUCUGAGAAAUCUGAAACUUAAGUUACGUUCCUUUGAAUCACAUAAGGAUGAAAUAUUCCAGGUUCAGUAGUCACCUCACAAUGAGACCAUUUUGGCUUCCAGUGGUACUGAUCGCAGACUGAAUGUCUGCGAUUUAAGUAAAAUUGGAGAAGAACGAUCCCCAGAAGAUGUAGAAGAUGCGCCACCAAAGUUGUUGUUUGUUCAUGGUGGUCAUACUGCCAAGAUAUCUGAUUUCUCCUGGAAUCCCAAUGAGUCUUGAGUGAUUUGUUCUGUAUCAGAAGAUAAUAUCAUGCAAGUGUGGCAAAUGGCAGAGAACAUUUAUAAUGAUGAAGACCCUGAAGGAAGCAUGGAUCCGGAAGGACAAGGGUCCUAGAUAUAUAUGUCUUUACUUCUUGUGAUUUUAGAUUCCCCUUUUUUCUUCUCAACCCUGAGAGUGAUUUAACUUUGGUUUUGAGACACAGACUUUGUUCAGCUAUCCCUCUAUAUAAUAGGUACCACCAGUAAUGCUAUUAGCCCAAACA